Non-coding RNA from Callithrix jacchus (white-tufted-ear marmoset), 1118 nucleotides. NCBI's taxonomy places the organism in Eukaryota, Metazoa, Chordata, Mammalia, Primates, Cebidae. The record is from RefSeq and is a predicted model, not a curated record.
GAACCUCUAGAGAACGGGACAGGCAGCCUCAGUGCUCCAUCCACAUUCCACGGCUGCAUGAGCUGAUGCGACAGAAACCACGGAGACCGUGGCCCAGACUGCACCACCCUGAGUGGGUUCCAGAGGGAAGAACAAAAAGAAAACACAAUCCAGAGAAGCAGAAGAGAAGGAACCUUCCUUUUUACCAAAAGUGUAUAGCAAGCUUCAUGUUUGCAACCCCGGAGACAUGGUGUCACUGGGACAAUUUUGGCCUUUACAGAACCAGAAUUCUCCUGGAAAACUAACCGUUCCUCUGAGAAGCCACCUGCAACCACAGCAACCGGCACAGCCACUUCCGUUCCUCAAACUCACGUGGACACCCAUGAGAGCACGGGCAAACCAGCCAAGGCGUCCGCAGGUCCCCACACACUUACGCAGAGCCCCUACUUACUCUUUGCCAAGAGAGGGCAUGGCUGCAGGAAAAGUGUCAUCUCAACAAGUAGGCGAAUGCUGGCUGGUUGAUACCAGCUAUCCAAGUAGCCCAGGACAAAAGACAGCCCUAGGUGAUUCAUUUCUCAAAUGCAGAGCUGCACAGAGCUCUCCAGGCUGCCCAGGUAGACUGCCACACAAAGGUUUAACGCUAUCACCACGAUUACAUUUGACUGAUUGAAGUCCUGCCUGCCAGAGGCCUUAACCGCGGUGUUGCGUGAGUUCAGGCCGGAAAGAAUACACUCUUCUUCUGUCUGGUCUCAUUUUCAGCAACACGAAAAUGCUGAAAUGACAGGCUCGGUGGACAACAUUUCUGGUGAUGACACACACUUAAGCCUGCAACAAUGGCAAGAGAAAAAUGAUCUGAAUCAAAGAUGCCCUUUCUUUACCUCGCCUUCCCAAUCUUGGGUCCCCCUCCAUAUAAAGUUCGAACAGUCCUUUGGAGCAAAAAUGCAAAUAAAAUUUUUUAUGCUUCUUAACAGAAAGUCAGUUAAAGUUUAUACCAAUUUCACCAAACACCUGUGAUCUGGGAUUCACCUGUGAAUUUCUCAAACAGUACAGGGAAAGACUAAGUAUGAGCUGAACGACCGGAAGGCAUACAGAAAAUACAAUAAAUGGCUGGGCACAGUGGCUACAAUCCCAGCGCUUCA